UACGGAGGAUCCAAGCGUUAUCCGGAAUCAUUGGGUUUAAAGGGUCCGUAGGCGGGCUUCUAAGUCAGUGGUGAAAUUCUGCAGCUCAACUGUAGAACUGCCAUUGAUACUGGAAGUCUUGAAUCGUUGUGAAGUGGCUAGAAUAUGUAGUGUAGCGGUGAAAUGCUUAGAUAUUACAUAGAAUACCGAUUGCGAAGGCA
Molecule: ribosomal RNA, 200 nt
Filed under: uncultured bacterium
Lineage: Bacteria
Description: partial 16S ribosomal RNA
Rfam family: Bacterial small subunit ribosomal RNA
Source: RNAcentral